Equus asinus (donkey) is the source of this 2211-nucleotide long non-coding RNA. The record is from Ensembl. NCBI's taxonomy places the organism in Eukaryota, Metazoa, Chordata, Mammalia, Perissodactyla, Equidae.
CCCGGACACUCCAGCCGCCCUAGGCGAGCCGCUGGGAGAUGAGGUUAAGUUUGCGGUAGGGUUGACGCCUGCUGUUGCCCGGGUGGGCCACGGUUACCGUGACCGCAAUUCCGGGGUCCCAACUCGCCCCAAACUGAUCACUCUCCUCCACCACUAACCUGGUUCUUUGAUGAGACCUUUUCCCCAGCGCGCGCUCACGCUGCUGGUGCCCUCGUUAGGAUUCUGUGCCGGGCAGCGGGAGGCUUUCUGCCCUUUGUCUGUUCCCACGACCCGAGCCUUUGCUGUGUCAGACUGAACCCUUUGCUUUAAUCUGUUUCGAUGUUCGAUGAGCAUGAUUUACGCACUUAAGUCUGGCCUCUAACCAAGUCAACUUUACUGCGCGUCCUGCCCCAGGGUUUCUCUGUGCUCCUCUCUUGCCCGCGGUCAGAUCUAGCCGGCCUUAUCCCGCAUCGGAAGCAUUUUAGGAAGGGUCUUUAUCACCCACUGCGCUCCCGGCAGCCUCCGUGCCGUUUCAUCUACGACUAAUGCGUUUUCUCCGCGAGAAGGGUGAGCCUGGUACUCUUUUAAUUAGACCUGGCUCCAGAGCGCCGGGAGCUUGCAUGAAGAGGAGUUUGCCAAGAAACUGAACAAAACCGUUAGUGAGAUCUUAGCUGCUUCCUCUACCCGCCCAGUCGCUGGGAGCAUUGUCAUUCCCAGAGGCAGAAGUUCCUGGCGAGCCCUGUUAAGGGGAGGAAUUGGGUUUGGGCCGGCUUGAAGGGGCUUGAGGCUAUGACAGAGUUUAUACCCUGCUAGGGGUGACCCCCUGGGUUUGACGUGCUGUCUGACCUUGAGCGCACAGAGGGCCAGAGGAGGUGGGCGGACAGUCGACACGCUCCCGUAACCCCCACAGUAGUCCCGCCUUCGCCACGGUUUCACUUUCCACGGUUUCAGUUACCUGCCGUCAACCAUGGUCCGAAAAUAUUAAAUGGAAUAGCCCAGAAAUAAGCAAUUCAUUUGUGUGUGAAUAUCCACUAUCAUUUCUCUUGGAUAAAUGCCUAGCAGUGGAAUUGCUGAGUCAUACACAGGAGCAGAAGAACCAGGUGAUGUGAAAUCAUUCAGAAGCAUCCAAAAGAAGCCUGGUCCCGCUCAGAGGCUGAGGGAACUCCAGACACGUUGGGCACGAGGGGCUGGGCUGACUAGGGUCCGAAGGCCAAAGCCAAGACAGCCAGGAGGAGUCCCAGCCACAGUUAGAGGGAACGUGCAUUGUAGAGCUGGCUGCUGCAAAUAGGAAAAGGAAGAGCGACAGAGGAGGCUGGACGACGUGAAUGCACAGUGCCAAGGCAGAAACGUGGAACCCAGACAAGCAAUUACAGCUAUCUACUGCAACAGCUUGUCAUGGCUGUCUUAGUGGGAAACGUCUUGAAUAAAAUCCUAGAGCCAUUCCGAGGAAUCUGAGUUGGAAAGGGUCCUAUGGAGGAGGAGGGCGGGUGGGGAGGGGAAAAGGCAGAGAAGAGAGAGAAGAAGGAGCGGGCAGGAAGGACUAAGACCUAUGAGAGGGAAGAAAAAUGUGGAAGGCACAUUAGAUUUCAGUCCUUAAACCAGAGGUUCUAACUGUUUUUAUUGAAUUGACCAUAUGUUUAUAAUUAAGCAUUACAUUAUACUAUAUAAACAUUAAAUAAAUAUUAUUCAUAUAGAAUUACAUGUGUGGACACAGCACAUCCUGAGCGGAAGAAUCAGUUGCCGCCUCUUCUCCGAGGCAUUUUUGGGGUCCUCAUGUGGAAUUACUCCUCUCGUUUGCUCCCAGAGGUCACAGCCCGUUCUCUUAUGGUUCUGCAUCACGACGUCGCAUGUUGCCUAUUUCUCUCUCCAGUAGAUUAUGAGCUUUGUGAGAGGAAGAGGGCCUCUGUCCAUAUAACUAAUAUUUAUUGAGAGCUUGUUUUGUGCUAGGCCUUUUGCAAAGCACUUGACAUGUUUUUAAUCCUCUAAACAAUCCUACAUGUGAAUAUUUUUAUUCCCAUUUUAAAGAUGAUAAAGCCAAAGCGAAGCAAGUUAAGUAUUGUCGAGCUCACACAGCAAGAAAGAGGGAGCGCUGGGGUUUGGGAAUAGGCAGUCUGAUUCCUAAACCUUCACUCUUAAGUGAGCUAAUGUAUCGUGCCACCCUGCACCUAACUUAAGAAGACUGUUAGUUUAGUUACUUGAAUUGUUAGUGGCCAAAUUCUUUCAAAGUCUAAC